GGUGUGCCCACACGUUCUUAUAUAAAUGUUUAGGCACACAUAUGAAUAUGUGUACUCAUCCAUACACAUUUGUGGGGAGCACUCAUCAGGCUCUUCUCUAAGCUGCUCCAAGCCUAGUACCUGUCUCAACUUCCUGAGUGUCUUAAACCCACAUAAAUGGCUAGCACUCACUGCCAUCAGGGCUCUUUAAGGGGCAGGACUUUCCUUGACCUCUGGGCUGGGUCACAGCCUGCUUCUCCCACCUUUACUAGCUCCCUAGUCUCAGCUCAGGCACCAGCCACCAGGAAAGCCCCUUCCAGGGGACUGGGAAAGUCACUUUCAGAGCCCAGCUUCCACUGGCCUGUGCGGACAGCCUGCCAGGCCUGGAACUAGAGAACUCUGCUGAGGAGAAGCAGCAGAAUGUAACCUACAGGAUAUCGAUGUGUGUUGUCUUUGACACUGGUCUUCACCUCACACCUGGAGCAUCUGGGAGAAGAGGUCUGGAUGGAGAGGAAUCACAUUCUGCUUACUACUUCCAGGAAUGGAUUCCUUCCCACAAGAUUGGUAGUUCUUUAAAAUUUGGGAUGAAAGAUCUCGCCACCGUUCUUAUUAGCAUAUAUUAAUUGUACAGUGUACUUUAAUUAUGCUCAUUUCCCAUCACUCUAAUCUUCCGAUUUUGCUCCCCUCUUCUCAGACAGUCUGAGAUGAGAAAUUCAUUCCUUAUGAAUGUCAAGAUUGGUGUUGUGCCAAUGAAGGGAGUUGAGAUUUGUGGGCACCGACUGUCUUAGAACUUGCGCUAAAAGCAUCGGUUGAAUUUUCCUUAAUAUUUAGUUAUAUUUAGGAAACAUAAAGACAUCCCAUGCUUUGAAAUAUCUAGUCCUAUUUAAGAGAGAUUUUCUGAGUGAAAGGCCACCAGGCGACAUCAACUGUCUAGAUUGUGCUGCCGAAGUGGGAUUUGAUUCCAGGAACACAAACAGUCCCAGAAAGCAGAAUGAAACACAGAGUCAAGCAUCUAAAUGGACGAAGAGAGCUGUAGGCAUCAGAAAACGACUCUGCCUCAUACCCCUGAAGACCUGUUGCUGUUUCCUGCAGGCAUGGAGAAAGCCAACUUUGGAGUCCAGAAAAGAACCUGGGUCCCAAGUUAAGUUGUGAAGAAUGGGGAGCCCAAGAUAAGGUAGCAGCAGAUUUGCCGCCUCCUACUUGCUCUCUCCUCAAGAUGAGGCCUUCCUUCUCUUUGAAUCCUUUUUUGUAAGGAUCCUCAUCCACAGUUUCAUUUCUUGUCAUCAUCAUCAUCAUCAUCAUCAUCAUCAUCUUAAUGUAUGAAUGCCAUGAAGACACAGACAUUCAGAUCACAGCAGAUGGGAUUUCCAAAUUGGUGCUAUACCUGUGCUUUCAACAGGUCAUACGCCAGUUCUACUGACCACCUAUUCUAACUGAUGAUACACGUUCCAGACCAAUGGUUUCCAAGGGAAGUCCCAUUAUUAGGACUUGUUAUAUAUAAAACAGUUCCUUGGUUAUAGGUAGUGCUUUGGAAAAAGCUUAGUGGUGUAGGUUUAAAAAUGGUGGCUCUUGGCAGAUACAAUGUAGACGGAAAAAAAGAUAUGUUGGAAUAUCACUUACUUUGUUUGAAAAAUUCCAUUUAUUUAAUGUAAAUAGUAUCACUAGAAAACUGCUCAGAUUUUCCUAGGCACAGUAAAAAAAAUCAGCGUAAGAAUUGGUAUUUUAUACACACACACACACACACACACACACACACACACACACACACACACACAAAAUAGCAUUCUACUUCCUCCAGGAACCCCAACUUCCUUCUUUUACUUCCCCCAGGAAGUGAUGGGAUCUCAAAUCUUAAGACCUCAUUAUGGAUCAAACAAUGUAAACAAAUGUACAAAGAAUGUGAGAUUAAUUUUGCUUAUAACUUGGCUGCUUGAGGUAUACCUCGAGAACUGGUCUCUCUCUCUCUCUCUCUCUCUCUCUCUCUCUCUCUCUCUCUCUCUCUCUCUCUCUGAAUUAGUUUGAUAUAGUCCCUAAUAAAAAACAAAUUAAAAAUCUUUUACAGCUCUGACCAUGGAGUAGGGGGGGAGUUAAUGUGGUAUGUUGGUUAUAGAGGAGGCUUGAUGGAUCGCCAAAGCCAGCUCUUAAUGUCUUAUGGAGAAGUCAAAAGACUGUGUGUAAAGUUUAUAGGUCUUUUCCCAAGAGCUUCAUGUAUUCUAAUUUAUUUAAGUUUGAAAUGACUCAGUGUGCUUUUAAAAAAAGCACAUGAACUUGGUAGGAAAAAUGGUGGGGGAAGAGGGGAGGAACUGGGGGAAAGGAAUGGUGUAUAUAGUUGAUCAAAGCACAAUAUAUGCAUGUACAACAUUCUCAAUAAAGAAGAAAAAAAUUUUCACAUGAAAAGUUUUCAUUUUAAAAGAAAACGUGCAGAGUUGUUUUAUAAA
This is a long non-coding RNA of Peromyscus californicus insignis, 2417 nucleotides long. RefSeq lists it as uncharacterized. The transcript is spliced from 3 exons. The record is from RefSeq and is a predicted model, not a curated record. Lineage: Eukaryota; Metazoa; Chordata; Mammalia; Rodentia; Cricetidae.